GGGGAACAUCUGCCAAUUUUGCACAAUCAUCUGCCAGAAAUUCCAAGCAACCACAGAGAAAGGAUGUAAUGGAAGGAUGGAAAGGUAUUGAGCCAAGAUCCAGAAUUCUAAUCACAGAGAGAAGACAUGCAUGUAACAGGCCGUGUAAAACAGACACAGCCCUGGAGCCUCAUCUCCCUGAGUCCUUGCUGUUCUCAGAGAAGGAAAAAUCACUUCGAGCUUCAGUUGGUGUCUUUUACAUCCAAGAAUCUGGAUGGGAAUUGGAGCACAGAGUUUUUCCUUGGGAGGAAACAGGGAUAUAUGUCAACAUAUCAACUGCUUUGUCACAUUCUUUGCUAACGCCAAUGUCAUCAGAAUUUAAAAAGCUGAAGUGAGGAAUUGCGUUUUGGAAUGAAAGCCACGUGAGCAGUAAGGGCAGCCAGCCAGAACCUUCCGGGGAAGUGAAUGAAAGCAGAACUGUGGUGGAAGAGUUUAAAUCCCCUUUACAGUUCCCGUCAUCCUCCCCCAUUUCCCAGCCUCUAGGGCCGACUGGAACAAAGGUGGUGUCAUAUUCCCUGGGCACACUGCCUGCCACUGCACUUUUGUUUUUUCCAGUUUUUUUUUUUUUUUUUUUUCUUUAGAGCAGUUUUAGGUUCACAGUAAAAUUGAGAGGAAGGUACAGAGACUUCUUUCCUAUAUACUCCCUGCCCCAACACAGUCACAACCUCCCCCAUGACCAGCACUCCCCACCAGAGCAGUGCAUGUGUUACAUCGGCACAUCGUUAUCAUCCAAAGUCCACAGUUUACACUUGGGUUCAUUCUUACUGUUGUCCAUUCCACGGUUUGGACAAAUAUAUGAUAACAUGUAUCCUCCAUUAUAAUAUUACACAGAAUAGCUUCUUCCACUGCUCUUAAAAUCCUCUCUGGUCUGCCUAUUCAACCCUCUCUUCUGACCUCUGACCUCCAUUGAUGUUUUCAUUGUCUCCACAGUUUUGCCUUUUCCAGAAGAUUCUACAGUUGGAAUCAUGCAGUAUGGACCCUUAUUGGAUUGGCUUCUUUCACUUAGUCAUGAGCAUUUAAGUUUCCCUGUGUCUUUUCAUGACUUGAAAUGAUAGCUCAUUUCCUGCCACCAUACUUUUAGUGUAAGCACCAAGUUUUCAUUCUUCCUGCCCCCACCUUGACAAAGCAUACAUCUUAGAAUCAUUUCCUUGCCACCAACUUCCCCUGUGUGGGUGAGAGAAAAUCAGAUUACACACCAAAGUCUAAACAUCGUGCUUCUCCACUGGUUUCCUGGUACCCAGUGUCCUCCUGGGCUUCGAGAUUUCCUGUUUGAAAACCAAAUGUGUUUGCCACCUUGUGGUCUGUAUUUUUAAAUUUGUUUUUAGCCAGAUAUUGUUAUCAAUAAAUUCAUUGCCUAGGGCCG
RNAcentral lists this long non-coding RNA (1402 nucleotides) under Homo sapiens (human). RNAcentral's name for it is "HSALNT0359267". The record is from RNAcentral. Lineage: Eukaryota; Metazoa; Chordata; Mammalia; Primates; Hominidae.